This 1372-nucleotide ribosomal RNA is filed under the name uncultured bacterium. RNAcentral's name for it is "bacterial SSU rRNA". It matches the Rfam family "Bacterial small subunit ribosomal RNA", at positions 28 to 1381 of the family's 1533-position model. The record is from RNAcentral.
GAUGAACGCUGGCGGCGUGCCUAAUACAUGCAAGUCGAGCGAACGGACGAGAAGCUUGCUUCUCUGAUGUUAGCGGCGGACGGGUGAGUAACACGUGGAUAACCUACCUAUAAGACUGGGAUAACUUCGGGAAACCGGAGCUAAUACCGGAUAAUAUUUUGAACCGCAUGGUUCAAAAGUGAAAGACGGUCUUGCUGUCACUUAUAGAUGGAUCCGCGCUGCAUUAGCUAGUUGGUAAGGUAACGGCUUACCAAGGCAACGAUGCAUAGCCGACCUGAGAGGGUGAUCGGCCACACUGGAACUGAGACACGGUCCAGACUCCUACGGGAGGCAGCAGUAGGGAAUCUUCCGCAAUGGGCGAAAGCCUGACGGAGCAACGCCGCGUGAGUGAUGAAGGUCUUCGGAUCGUAAAACUCUGUUAUUAGGGAAGAACAUAUGUGUAAGUAACUGUGCACAUCUUGACGGUACCUAAUCAGAAAGCCACGGCUAACUACGUGCCAGCAGCCGCGGUAAUACGUAGGUGGCAAGCGUUAUCCCGAAAUUAUUGGGCGUAAAGCGCGCGUAGCGGUUUUUUAAGUCUGAUGUGAAAGCCCACGGCUCAACCGUGGAGGGUCAUUGGAAACUGGAAAACUUGAGUGCAGAAGAGGAAAGUGGAAUUCCAUGUGUAGCGGUGAAAUGCGCAGAGAUAUGGAGGAACACCAGUGGCGAAGGCGACUUUCUGGUCUGUAACUGACGCUGAUGUGCGAAAGCGUGGGGAUCAAACAGGAUUAGAUACCCUGGUAGUCCACGCCGUAAACGAUGAGUGCUAAGUGUUAGGGGGUUUCCGCCCCUUAGUGCUGCAGCUAACGCAUUAAGCACUCCGCCUGGGGAGUACGACCGCAAGGUUGAAACUCAAAGGAAUUGACGGGGACCCGCACAAGCGGUGGAGCAUGUGGUUUAAUUCGAAGCAACGCGAAGAACCUUACCAAAUCUUGACAUCCUUUGACAACUCUAGAGAUAGAGCCUUCCCCUUCGGGGGACAAAGUGACAGGUGGUGCAUGGUUGUCGUCAGCUCGUGUCGUGAGAUGUUGGGUUAAGUCCCGCAACGAGCGCAACCCUUAAGCUUAGUUGCCAUCAUUAAGUUGGGCACUCUAAGUUGACUGCCGGUGACAAACCGGAGGAAGGUGGGGAUGACGUCAAAUCAUCAUGCCCCUUAUGAUUUGGGCUACACACGUGCUACAAUGGACAAUACAAAGGGCAGCGAAACCGCGAGGUCAAGCAAAUCCCAUAAAGUUGUUCUCAGUUCGGAUUGUAGUCUGCAACUCGACUACAUGAAGCUGGAAUCGCUAGUAAUCGUAGAUCAGCAUGCUACGGUGAAUACGUUCCCGGGUCU